Molecule: long non-coding RNA, 450 nt
Organism: Hyla sarda
Lineage: Eukaryota; Metazoa; Chordata; Amphibia; Anura; Hylidae
Exons: 4
Source: RefSeq, a predicted model, not a curated record
AUCUGAUUGGUUGCUAUGGGCAACUCAGCAUCUUUUCCUUCGGACAGGUUUUGAUAAAUCUCCCCCAUGAACCCCAAACACUUCAGUGAACUGUUAGCCGAAUCUUUGACUAUCUAAAGUAUAUUUCGGAAGGGAUUCUUGGACGCGUCUGGAAAUAUUUAUGCACCGUUGAAUGCAGGACUUUUCUAUAUGCCCAAAAAGUGUGCAGCAAAAAAACACAUUAAGGUUUUCUGCGCCAUUUACAUUUCUGCAGCAAUUUCUGUCAUAUGUUCAUUUACGGAUUUUCCAAUGAUAGCAGAGAGAGAGAGAGAGGAAGCUACACGAAGCUUAAAGGAGAUACAUGUGCAGCUAGCUCCACCUAAUGGACAACUGAGAGAGAGAGAGAGAGGGGGUGGAGUCUCAUCACAGCAAUUCACCAAAUAAGACCUAAUCACCUGCAGCAACCAGAAG